RNAcentral lists this transfer RNA (81 nucleotides) under Chrysotila carterae. RNAcentral's name for it is "tRNA-Leu". It matches the Rfam family "tRNA". Rfam says of the family: Transfer RNA (tRNA) molecules are approximately 80 nucleotides in length. Their secondary structure includes four short double-helical elements and three loops (D, anti-codon, and T loops). Further hydrogen bonds mediate the characteristic L-shaped molecular structure. tRNAs have two regions of fundamental functional importance: the anti-codon, which is responsible for specific mRNA codon recognition, and the 3' end, to which the tRNAs corresponding amino acid is attached (by aminoacyl-tRNA synthetases). tRNAs cope with the degeneracy of the genetic code in two manners: having more than one tRNA (with a specific anti-codon) for a particular amino acid; and 'wobble' base-pairing, i.e. permitting non-standard base-pairing at the 3rd anti-codon position. The record is from RNAcentral. Lineage: Eukaryota; Haptophyta; Isochrysidales; Isochrysidaceae.
UGCAAUAUGGCGAAAUUUGGUAUCCGCGUUCGAUUUAGGAUCGAAUAACAUGUUUUAAGAGUUCGAGUCUCUUUGUUGCUA